This 392-nucleotide long non-coding RNA is filed under the name Ictidomys tridecemlineatus (thirteen-lined ground squirrel). Its description in RNAcentral is "lncRNA (ENSSTOG00000030716.1)". Lineage: Eukaryota; Metazoa; Chordata; Mammalia; Rodentia; Sciuridae. The record is from RNAcentral.
UAUUCCUGUGAUCCCACUUUUUGGAUAAUUGAGAGGUGGAAUUCACUGUUCCCAAAGCAUACAAUGAAAAAAUAUACAGUUCUUUUACAGAGCCAGGGGCCCGAGGAUUCAAAGCCACCUGCAGGAGUGAAGUGGCCCUAGAGGACUUUCUGGGCACUUUGGAGGAAGCUGUCCUCCGGGCUCACAGUUCUGUUGGCACUCUUUUCAGUUCUGCGGAAGCUCUCAGAAGUAACCUGUCUCUCUCCAGCCUGAAUCUUGAUGGCAGGGAAGAAUGCUGACAGCUCUGUCACCCCCGAGCAGACAGCUGGGUCCACUCCAGAAGGCACUGGCUGAUGUUCCUUGGAAACGUGCGUGUCAGUCUGCGUCAGGAGCCAGAGUCUACCUCCAGCGCC